UGAUAGCUCAGUCAGUAGAGCAUGAGACUCAUGAUCUCGGGGGUCAUGGGUUCAAGCCUAAGGUUGGGCAAAA
Non-coding RNA from Podarcis lilfordi (Lilford's wall lizard), 73 nucleotides. NCBI's taxonomy places the organism in Eukaryota, Metazoa, Chordata, Lepidosauria, Squamata, Lacertidae. The record is from the annotation of a GenBank genome assembly.